Molecule: transfer RNA, 56 nt
Filed under: Cordylochernes scorpioides
Lineage: Eukaryota; Metazoa; Arthropoda; Arachnida; Pseudoscorpiones; Chernetidae
Description: tRNA-Gly
Source: RNAcentral
UCGGGAAUCGAACCAGGGACGCCCGCGUGGCAGGCGAGCAUUCUACCACUGAACCA